This 246-nucleotide long non-coding RNA is filed under the name Homo sapiens (human). RNAcentral describes it as "long non-coding RNA NONHSAT250924". Lineage: Eukaryota; Metazoa; Chordata; Mammalia; Primates; Hominidae. The record is from RNAcentral.
GUUUUCAAUUCCUUUGGAUAAAUACUAAGGAGUGUGAUUGGUGAAUCUUAUGGUAAAAGUAUGGUUACUUUUGUAAGAAACCACCAAACUGUCUUCCAAAGUGAUUGCACAUUUUGCAUUCUCACCAGUAAUGAACAAGUUACUAUUGCUACAUAUCUUUGCAACCUUUGGUGCUGACAGUGUUCUAAAUUUUGGUCAUUCUACUAGGUAUGCAGUGGUAUCUACUUGUUUUAAUUUGCAGUUCCC